AGCUUCGCACAGUGGCAGUAUCAUAGCCAAUGAGGUUUAUCUGAGGUGCAAUUAUUGCUAAUUGAAAAAACUAAUUGUUCAACUUCAGAGAACUUUAAUUUAUUAUCUUAAAAACUUGUAAAUAAG
Non-coding RNA from Canis lupus familiaris (dog), 126 nucleotides. Lineage: Eukaryota; Metazoa; Chordata; Mammalia; Carnivora; Canidae. The record is from Rfam.